RNAcentral lists this ribosomal RNA (327 nucleotides) under uncultured eukaryote. RNAcentral's name for it is "partial 18S ribosomal RNA". It matches the Rfam family "Eukaryotic small subunit ribosomal RNA", at positions 1469 to 1796 of the family's 1831-position model. The record is from RNAcentral.
ACCCUUAGAUGUUCUGGGCUACACGCGCGCUACACUGAAGCGUUCAACGAGUAUUCACCUUGCCCGGGAGGGUUGGGUAAUCUUUUUAAAACGCUUCGUGAUGGGGAUAGAUUAUUGCAAUUAUUAAUCUUCAACGAGGAAUUCCUAGUAAGCGCGAGUCAUCAGCUCGUGCUGAUUACGUCCCUGCCCUUUGUACACACCGCCCGUCGCUACUACUGAUUGGGUGUUCAAGUGAGAUGCUUAGACCCUUGUUGCAUGGUUCAUUAUUGUGCUCCGAAAGGAAAAAGUUUCAAGCUUGAGUGUCUAGAGGAAGUAAAAGUCGUAACA